AUUGAACGCUGGCGGCAUGCUUUACACAUGCAAGUCGAACGGUAACAGGUUAAGCUGACGAGUGGCGAACGGGUGAGUAAUGCAUCGGAACGUGCCCGAUCGUGGGGGAUAACGCAGCGAAAGCUGCGCUAAUACCGCAUACGAUCUGAGGAUGAAAGCGGGGGACCGUAAGGCCCCGCGCGAUCGGAGCGGCCGAUGUCAGAUUAGGUAGUUGGUGGGGUAAAGGCCCACCAAGCCGACGAUCUGUAGCUGGUCUGAGAGGACGACCAGCCACACUGGGCAUGAGACACGGCCCAGACUCCUACGGGAGGCAGCAGUGGGGAAUUUUGGACAAUGGGCGAAAGCCUGAUCCAGCAAUGCCGCGUGCAGGAAGAAGGCCUUCGGGUUGUAAACUGCUUUUGUACGGAGCGAAAAGGUCCUUUCUAAUACAGGGGGCUCAUGACGGUACCGUAAGAAUAAGCACCGGCUAACUACGUGCCAGCCGCCGCGGUAA
RNAcentral lists this ribosomal RNA (493 nucleotides) under uncultured bacterium. Its description in RNAcentral is "partial 16S ribosomal RNA". It matches the Rfam family "Bacterial small subunit ribosomal RNA", at positions 29 to 523 of the family's 1533-position model. The record is from RNAcentral.